AUUGAACGCUGGCGGCAGGCCUAACACAUGCAAGUCGAGCGGAUGAAGGGAGCUUGCUCCUGGAUUCAGCGGCGGACGGGUGAGUAAUGCCUAGGAAUCUGCCUGAUAGUGGGGGAUAACGUCCGGAAACGGGCGCUAAUACCGCAUACGUCCUGAUGGAGAAAGUGGGGGAUCUUCGGACCUCACGCUAUCAGAUGAGCCUAGGUCGGAUUAGCUAGUUGGUGGGGUAAAGGCCUACCAAGGCGACGAUCCGUAACUGGUCUGAGAGGAUGAUCAGUCACACUGGAACUGAGACACGGUCCAGACUCCUACGGGAGGCAGCAGUGGGGAAUAUUGGACAAUGGGCGAAAGCCUGAUCCAGCCAUGCCGCGUGUGUGAAGAAGGUCUUCGGAUUGUAAAGCACUUUAAGUUGGGAGGAAGGGCAGUAAGUUAAUACCUUGCUGUUUUGACGUUACCAACAGAAUAAGCACCGGCUAACUUCGUG
Molecule: ribosomal RNA, 484 nt
Filed under: uncultured bacterium
Lineage: Bacteria
Description: partial 16S ribosomal RNA
Rfam family: Bacterial small subunit ribosomal RNA
Source: RNAcentral